This 503-nucleotide ribosomal RNA is filed under the name uncultured bacterium. RNAcentral's name for it is "partial 16S ribosomal RNA". It matches the Rfam family "Bacterial small subunit ribosomal RNA", at positions 29 to 523 of the family's 1533-position model. The record is from RNAcentral.
AUUGAACGCUGGCGGCACGCCUAACACAUGCAAGUCGAGCGGCAGCGAGAUCAGUAGCAAUACUGAUUGUCGGCGAGCGGCGGACGGGUGAGUAAUACGUAGGAACCUGCCCAGAAGUGGGGGAUAACUAAUGGAAACGUUAGCUAAUACCGCAUACAUUCGGGAGAAGAAAGCGGCCGGGAAAGGUGGCGCUGUUGGAGGGGCCUGCGUCCGAUUAGCUAGUUGGUGAGGUAAUGGCUCAACAAGGAGAUGAUCGGUAACUGGUCUUGGAGGACGACCAGUCACACUGGGACUGAGACACGGCCCAGACUCCUACGGGAGGCAGCAGUGGGGAAUCGUGGACAAUGGGGGCAACCCUGAUCCAGCGAUGCCGCGUGAGUGAAGAAGGCCCUCGGGUCGUAAAGCUCUUUAGGCUGGGAAGAAGUGUGGAAGAGGAAAUGCUUUUACAUUGACGGUACCAGCAGAAUAAGCACCGGCAAACUCUGUGCCAGCCGCCGCCGUAA